UAUUGGACAAUGGGGGCAACCCUGAUCCAGCAAUGCCGCGUGUGUGAAGAAGGCCUGAGGGUUGUAAAGCACUUUCAGUGGGCCCCCCAAGGUUGAAGGUUAAGAGCUAUUGACUGUGACGUUACCCACAGAAGAAGCACCGGCUAACUCCGUGCCAGCAGCCGCGGUAAUACGGAGGGUGCAAGCGUUAAUCGGAAUUACUGGGCGUAAAGGGUGCGUAGGUGGUUUAUUAAGUUAUCUGUGAAAUCCCCGGGCUUAACCUGGGAAUGGGGCCUGUGACUGUAUAGCUAGAGUGUGUCAGAGGGGGGUAGAAUUCCACGUGUAGCAGUGAAAUGCGUAGAUAUGUGGAGGAAUACCAAUGGCGAAGGCAGCCCCCUGGGAUAACACUGACGCUCAUGCACGAAA
RNAcentral lists this ribosomal RNA (405 nucleotides) under uncultured bacterium. Its description in RNAcentral is "bacterial SSU rRNA". It matches the Rfam family "Bacterial small subunit ribosomal RNA", at positions 362 to 758 of the family's 1533-position model. The record is from RNAcentral.